GGGGCGGGGUCUUCGUGGCGCGCGAGGCUCUGAGGCGAGCGGGGAUGCUGCUGAAGCCGCCGCCGGUCGAGGCCCGGCUGGGGCCUGCUCCUGCCCCUAGAGCCGCCGCCAGCGGCCGGCCCCGCUGCUGAGGCGAACGGGCGGGCUCCGUGAGGGACGGCGGUGGCGGCUGCGCGCUGGGCCUGGCUCCCGGGACCGCCCGCGGUGUCACCGGUGCCCCGACGCCGCGCUGGGCGGCCUGAACUGGAGGAGGCGGAGACGAUAUGAUACUGUCACACCUACCACGAGAGGCUGCAAGCAGGUUUCAGAAAUGAGGGCUGGACGUGUUUAAUACGACCUCCAACUUACCUCACGCUCGAUCUCCGCACUACUCCAUGUGGAAUUUCUGUGCUGGAAUUUGCAAGAGCAUGCUGGGAAACUUGUGGAAGAAGAAUUGUUAUCUUAUUGCUGUGCUAGAUAUUUAGAUACUGCUAAACACAUGGAUAUUACUUCGAUUUGUAAUGACAGUUGGAUAGGAAACCAUCUUUGUUUGUGUUCCUUCUGCAGUUUGGGCUGGAUUUGUCUUUGCUCUGGUAGAUUUCCAUGUAUGGGAGUUGCACGCUUCAACUUUGACUCAGCAGCACUUUCUAGUAAGCACAGCAAAACUCUGCCCAUGUUGUAUCAGAGGAAUAUUUGGACAAAGAGAGGUCAAAGUUAUAUAAGAGAAUUUUUGGUUUAUGUUACGAGGAAUCUUCAGUCCACCAAGUUUAAGGAGAAUUGGCAUACCAAGAAGUGGUCAGAAUUGGGCUAAAAUUGCUGCCUUACUUUGCAACAAAGGGAAAAGAAUACAGCAAGCAACUCCAGAGUCUCCCUGCCUUCUUUGAUACACUCAGACCAGCGACCUCAUGGAGAAUCCCUGCCCUGCCUGCUCUUCACCACAGUGCUUGUUGGACAUCUUGUUGUCUUAGGCCUCUCAGCUUUCGUCUUUUGUGGAAGAGAAGCUGCCAUUGAGCAGCAGGUCUCAUUGUGCACAUGUGCAGGCUUUUGUAAUCAGCGAAGACUCAAUCCGAGAGUCACGUGGCCCCCAGAGAACCAUUCUCUUGAGUGAAGGACAGUCAAAAAGAUUUCUUAGAGGAGAGGGAAGAACACACAGAAGCACUCUCUUGGAGAAAGAUGCAAGUGCCCCAGCAAUGAAAGAGUUUACUGGUGCCGGUCAUACAUGAGCUUUGCCUUAUAGCUAUAUGCCAAAGCAGCAUUUAAGCAAAGAGAUGGGACCAACGAUAGCAAAUGCUGACAAAGAGAAAAGGUGGACAAGCAUUUUUUUGUGAUUAAUACCUAAAGGAUGGGAGGAAACAAGGAAGCAAAAAUGCAGUUUAGCGGACUCUUGAUAUCACCAGAAACUGCUACAGUAAGAGGUGUUCUGCCAUGGAUAACUAAGAUUAAUUGCCAUGGCUGAAGUUGAAGAGACCAGAAAAACAUAAGCAAGCUGAAGUAAUAAAAUCAAAUGGAACCAACUGAGAGCUGUCUCCCUCUGCCAAAAAGGGAAAGCCCAUUCCUCCUGGCGAGGAAGGAUCACCAUUAUUAGUGAUCCGAAUAACAGAUCACCAACAUAUAACAGAAGGGGGAUGGAUUUUACUAUGCCUCCAUGAACGAGUGCUGGCUGGCAAAGUUAUUAUGUCCCAGUGGAGACCCUUAGGCAAGAUGGAGGAGUUCAGAUACGCAGCCUGCCAGAAGGACAUCACCCGGGAGGGGUUGCCAGCCUUGAACUAUAGGCGCUGGCAUUCAGAACCUCGGGGAACGACUGUAUGCUGCCAUGAAGAACUCCAGGCUACCACCCCCCUCAGGGCAGUGUCAUGUUGUCAAGAGCGACCAGGAGAAUCCAAACGGCAGCGGAAAGGUUCUCUGCCUGGUUCCCAUGAGGAGCCUUCGGCCACGGGAAGGUCGGCAGCGUCCUUACUGGACUUGAUAACGUUUUGAGGGCUGGCAACUCGAAGAGGAGCAGCUCAGCCCGUUUUGUUGACUUCAGUGAUGCUGUUUUGAGGAAGCAUGUAAGUACAGAAGGGGUCUGGGAGGGUUUUCAAACAAGAUGGGAAAGAGCAAGGAAGAUUUGAGAGUGAAAGGGGCUAAUGCACAAGGAGUAGUAAAAUACUGUGACUGAACACAAGGUUCCUCCCCAGUGCAGGUCUCUGUGUGCACCCUCGCUCUUGCAGAUGCAGACACCCUGGAGCCGUAGGGAAUCAGGCAAGCAGGCCCACAGGUGGGCUCUGGGCACAGCGGUGUGCAGAGCGCAUACAUCCUACAUAUCUACAUCCCUCUAACUGGCUCCCUGUCACUCUAUCCAGCUCUUCAUCAUCCUGUUCCUCUCCCUAUCCCACUACCUGCCUGCUGUCCUGUCUGGCUCCCCAUGCAUCUGCCGCUCUCAUCUGUCUCUCUGUACCUUUCUGCCUUCCCAGCCAUCUGUCCACCUCUCCAGCCUUCUCUUUCUUUUUCCGUCCCUCUGUUCAGCUCACCAUCCAUCUAUUUGUCUCCCUGUCUCUCUUUUCCCCUGUUUUGUCCUAUCUCUCUGUCUGAAUUCCCCUCCCUCUUUUUUUCCCUCCACCUUUCUGGCCAGCUCAUCAUCCUCAUUUUCUUUCCAUCGCUCCGACUGGCUCUCUGUCCCUCUCUUCCCAGCCCCGUUUCUCUGUCCAGUUCUCCCCCCUUCUCUUUUGCUCCCUGUCCUUUUGCCCGCCUCCCCUUCCCUCCUUACCCCUCUCUGUUCUUCUGCCCACCUCCCCUUCCCUCUUUUUCUCUCUUCUGCUCCCUGGUCCUCUGUGCAGCCCUCCCUCCGUGUGGCCCUCUCUCCCUCUCUUUCCAUUCCUUUGUCUAGCGCCCUGACCCUGGGGCCAGAUCUCUAUCCUUCUCUUUCUCCCUCUAUCCCUCUGCCAAGCUCUCUACCCCUCUUUUCUUCUGCCCCCUGUCCCCGUGUACAGCUGGAGGUCUGUCAUUGCUGUGUGUUUUGGCUGGUGUGGCCGGUGCCAAGAGGCAGUUGGCGCUCAGCAGAGCUGGUGAUCAGCAGCGCCCAGAGGGUGCCGUCGAUUGGCCUGGUUCGGGUCACAUCAGACACCUCCGCAGUGGCUCUGCCUGCAGAGGCGCGGGGCUGUGGGUGUGCAGCGGGGGAGCACUAGUGAGCUAGAGAUGCCGUGGGGUGUGUAGUCGACGGGGAAGGUGUCGUAGAGGCAGAGAGCAGCAGAGGCUCCGAGUCCUCGGGUGUUAGGACAGGCGCUCGCAGUAGGGCAGUCUGGAGCUGCUGUUGUUGUCUGUCCUACUCGUCAGCACAGCCAGGGCUGCUGCGCGGUGCAGCUUGAGUCGUGAUCGCGAUGCUGUUUGUAAUUUAUAGCUGCGUGUAAAUAAAUCCGUUCCUUGCAGAGGAAGGCUGUAUGCAGGUGCAAUCCUCCUGGUCCCAGUGUUGUAAAGCUGCAUUUAAUGAAAUACGAGCGCUCUCUGCCAGGGGGCAUGUGGUGGUGGAUGCCUGUAUUCCUCUGGACUCUUCUUAGCACAGUUAUCGUGAGCAAUGAAUGCAUGAUUUCAGUAACUUGCAAAAUGCAGCCUUGCCCUCAAAGCCCAAGGGACAGAAUUAAGGGCCUGUCUGUCAGCUAACAAAUAAAGAAGAUGGAGCAGCCUAUCCACAUUCCACAUAGGAGAACGGACAUAGGAGAACUGAUAUAUGAUAAAUGUAAACGUGCUAGAUCUCUGGUACGUCCCAGGCAUUUGUUUAGAUCUGCGCAUUCAGAUCUAUAGUUCCACAUUCGGAACAUGGCGUUUGCCUGGUGUCUAAUUCCUUUGCGGAGUGUAGAAGCCACUGUGUACAGCUGCCAACCUCUACGACAGGUUAUCAGAGAGAAUGAGAAUGCUGCAUUUCAACUCAUGACUGCAAAAGAGGCUCCUUUAUGUCCAGUUCCAGAAUUAUGACCUACUUCAUCAUUCUGCUUUGACAUUAUUUCUUAGCGGGAAUGGUAGCAUUUUAACUGUGCCGUGGUUGACACCAGUAAUUUAUAGGCCAGCGCAGUUAUGCUGUACCUUUCUUUGAUGUGCAUUUCAUCUUUGUAUCAAGCUUCUGGGAAAAUAAAUGGUACAGAAUUCCAGAAGGUGUGCCUUUAAAUAGGCAGUAAAUCUAGAAGCAUGUCUGAAUUCCAGAUGGCUUGUAACUUCAUAUUUGUCUUCAGCGUAUACUUUUCUGUCGCUCUUAUUCCAGGCUUACCUACAACAAUCAGUAUUACUGAGGUGUAUUGUGUUUCACAGGCAGCGAUAUUUUCAAUAAGGGCAUGAGAACUCCUGCUCUGAAAUGGACUUCAUAAUCAAUAACCACAUGAUCCAUGCUCUGGGCUGGUCACUUUAGGCCUUUGUGCAGAGUAUUCUUUCUAGUCACACUCCCCGUGUGAUCCCCUCCUUCCACUGUUUUCCGAAGGGAUUGGAAAUGCUUCUGGUAAGUCCUGUAGUUUCCUAAAUUUUCCACUGUGUCCUUGCUGAUAUUGGAUACCAUUAUAGCAGGGAGAGGCAGCCUACAUAUAUGCACGGAACAUUAGAUGGGCCAAAAAGGUAACUUCUUUGUGCCACAAUCUACUUUAGAGAGUUUAAUUUUGACCUAGGGCUUGGGUCUCACUACAUCCAGCGGAAGAAAUGUAAGCCGAAGGGUCGCAGUAAAUAACUGCUUGUCUAGGUCUGUUACCUAGCAACACAUUGUCAGAGUUUUUUAUGAACAGUCAUACUCGAUCAAGUGCAUAUUCAUUCCGUGAAUAUUACUGCAAGAGUGCGUAUGUUACUGAUCCUUUAAAGCAAGUCCAUGGCACUGGCGGGGUAGCGUGUGUUCUGAAGACUAAAUCCAAGAGCAACUCAUUUUGAUGCUGUUCUCUUAUAUGAAAGCACUUAGAGCAGAUUAAAACAUUUAUCGUCCUAUUUUGUUUAUUGAAUGGACCGUGAGACUCGGAAAAACCUGCAGCAAAGGAGACACGGUAGUCAGUUUCCUUGGAGAAGGUGUCUUGUCCUGUACUUUAGGGCUUCCUGUACAUUUUGACAGACAGUAGUGAAUGACUGGUCUCCUUUGAAACCCUGGGCAGCAGAAGGUUCUGACUGGAAGGCAAAAUGUUUCUUGCAGCCGGGUUUGAAGAAGCUGGCUACCAGUCAAAAGAAAUGACCGGCUACCAAUCAAAAGUAAUGACCAAUCUGUGGAGUUACUGGAAGUUUUUAAAAGACAGUCAUCACCUUUUAUGGAAGGUGAUGCACUUUCGUUACUAAUCCCUGUAGCAGUCGAACCAGGUAAGUGAUACGUAGGAGGUCAAGCCCAUUAGUCUUUUUCACACAAUAAUAGCCUUUAGGCUGUGAUCACUCUUAUAAAAGUCCAGAUAUUUUAGAAACUGAACAAACCUUUUCAGCUUGUUUCCUGUAGUACCGCAAAAGGUGAUCAGAAUACUAAUGUUUUCAUGCUUUAAUGUGGUAGACAUGCGCUGUGCAAACAUCUCUUACUGUUUAAUAAUAAAAACUGAGCGGUCAGUCGAGACGCUAGUGCA
RNA transcript from Dromaius novaehollandiae (emu), 5522 nucleotides. RefSeq lists it as uncharacterized. Lineage: Eukaryota; Metazoa; Chordata; Aves; Casuariiformes; Dromaiidae. The record is from RefSeq and is a predicted model, not a curated record. The transcript is spliced from 16 exons.